GUUGGAAGAGAGAUUAACCAUUCCCCUCUGUUUCUCUCCCGUGUCCCCUCUCCCCUUCUCGCUCUGAUCUCCUCGCCGGCGUCGAUUCGACCGGAUCCCGGCGGGACAGUGGCGAGGAGGAGUGCCUCUCGUUUUUGUCGGGAGAGUGCCUCUCGUUUCUGGAUAGAUUUGGUUGCGAAUUCCGGCCAUCUAGAUCGAGUGGAAGGGCGGUUCCUCUGCCUUGCUCCGGCGUCCUCGCCGUCGACGUCUCGGUACGGAUCUCUUUUGAAGGAGGUGAGUAGGAGCCGCUCUCGCGUCCUGACGGUGUUUCUCGAACGGAGGUGCUUGUGCGAGUUCCUGGCUAGUUCAUUUCUCAAGGACUUCUGCAAUUGUCUUUGUUUUCGUCGGCCUCGUCCUGUGUCGCCAUAUAUCCACUGAGUGAGUCUGUUUCUGCGGUGAAAUCCAAUUGAAAUCCAAUAGGUUCUGCCGUAUACAAAGGAUUAUCUAAGGUUUUCCAGUGCAUAUGAGAGGUUGUUUUUCUUCUACUUGACGAGUUCCUGCCUUCCUGGUCACUUUUUUGUUCUGAAUUUCAGUGUAUGAUUUCUUGUUCACUUCAGUUUCUUUUGUGUAUCUGUAUCAGAGAUUGGUAUAAGGAGGAUUAGUGCUAUAGUAUUUUUAGUUUCAA
This is a long non-coding RNA of Lolium rigidum, 664 nucleotides long. RefSeq lists it as uncharacterized. The transcript is spliced from 3 exons. The record is from RefSeq and is a predicted model, not a curated record. NCBI's taxonomy places the organism in Eukaryota, Viridiplantae, Streptophyta, Magnoliopsida, Poales, Poaceae.